RNAcentral lists this ribosomal RNA (286 nucleotides) under Phytophthora infestans T30-4. RNAcentral describes it as "18S ribosomal RNA". It matches the Rfam family "Eukaryotic small subunit ribosomal RNA", at positions 1549 to 1831 of the family's 1831-position model. Lineage: Eukaryota; Oomycota; Peronosporomycetes; Peronosporales; Peronosporaceae. The record is from RNAcentral.
AUCUUGUGAAUGCGCAUCGUGCGAUGGGAUAGACUGGUGCAAUUUUCAGUCUUGAACGAGGAAUUCCUAGUAAACGCAAGUCAUCAGCUUGCAUUGAUUACGUCCCUGCCCUUUGUACACACCGCCCGUCGCACCUACCGAUUGAAUGACUCGGUGAAAAAUUGGGACCGUGAGUCUGUUUGCUUUAUUGCGAGUGGAUUGAUGGGAACUUUUUUAAACCUCGCCAUUUAGAGGAAGGUGAAGUCGUAACAAGGUUUCCGUAGGUGAACCUGCGGAAGGAUCAUUA